ACGAUAUCUCCAAACAAUCGCUACCCCCCUCGCCCAAAUCACUGCAAGCCACGAUGUACGAUCCUCGUCUUUCCAGAUCGAUCCAUAGAAAAACUGCGCCGCCGACUCUCCUGUACUGCUCGACUCUACCGGAUGCGCGCCCUCGCGCCCGGCGCUUCGAACCUCAAAUCUUUCGCAUCGCAUCAUUAGAGCAGCCCAAUCGAUGUCUCCUGUGCUCCAUCAACCAAUCUCAUGAUUUCUACAUCCGGCUGGAAAGGUCAUAGCACGUACUCCUUGCCCUUCAUCUUGAAGCUGUAGUGAUUGGUUCGCCUGUUGUGGGUGACCCCGCAAUCGAAUUGCCAAGGUCUUCCUAAGAGGAGAUGGCACACGGUCAUAGGAACCACAUCACACUCCAAGGUGUCUUCGUAUGCGCCAAUCUUGAAGGAGACUUGAACGGUUUACACAAAGAGGGAGAAUACCGGCAGCUGGAAUUCUGGACC
Triticum aestivum (bread wheat) is the source of this 479-nucleotide long non-coding RNA. RefSeq lists it as uncharacterized. The record is from RefSeq and is a predicted model, not a curated record. The transcript has 3 exons. NCBI's taxonomy places the organism in Eukaryota, Viridiplantae, Streptophyta, Magnoliopsida, Poales, Poaceae.